AAUAGAAUGAGGCUCGCUCAGUUUAUGUUGGCAAGGAAAGCCUCGGAAGGUAAAGGACCCCGCUAGAAAGAACACUGACAUUGGGCAGAGCUGCAGAAGAUUUAAUUAAAUAACCUUACGCCAGUAACAGUGUAAGACUUAACUCAACUUCUCUCUUUCUCUGCCAUUUUUUUAUUACUAAGAAAAUCUCAGGUAAGAAAAACCUCCACGAGUGCGUUUGGAUGACAUUGAGCGGUAACUUUAUAUUGAUUGAUUGCCAAUUUAAAUAAUGAUGGAGUAGUGAAUUGUAGAAUGGGUAUGGAUGCAAACUAACCAAGCUUGGGUGAGCUUGAUGAUAAGCUCGAAUUGGACAAGCCUGGACUAGGUUUGUUUUGUUUCUGAUAGGCUUGUCCCAAGUUCUAUCUUGCUUGACUUGAAUUAUGCU
This 424-nucleotide long non-coding RNA is filed under the name Zostera marina. RNAcentral describes it as "long non-coding RNA (ZMAR_LNC000960)". Lineage: Eukaryota; Viridiplantae; Streptophyta; Magnoliopsida; Alismatales; Zosteraceae. The record is from RNAcentral.